RNAcentral lists this transfer RNA (74 nucleotides) under Aspergillus coremiiformis. It matches the Rfam family "tRNA". Rfam says of the family: Transfer RNA (tRNA) molecules are approximately 80 nucleotides in length. Their secondary structure includes four short double-helical elements and three loops (D, anti-codon, and T loops). The record is from Rfam by way of RNAcentral. RNAcentral also lists the same sequence under 1 other name. Lineage: Eukaryota; Fungi; Ascomycota; Eurotiomycetes; Eurotiales; Aspergillaceae.
GUCUCGGUGGCGCAAUUGGUUAGCGCGUCUGACUGUUAAUCAGGAGGUUGUGAGUUCAAUCCUCACCUGGGACG